UUCUCCAUUUUGAAAGGUAAAAACUCUGUGAAGGUGGUUUUAUAGGGUCACAAAAAGCAGACAUAAACUUAUUAAAUAGCAUUAUGUUUGAAAAGCAGAUUUAACAAAAGGGCAGCCGGAUUAUAUGGGUAUAUAUUUUUUUUCUUUUAGGACAGUGGAAUAGCAAAUGGUAAACAAAUGCUGCUCGACGCCAGCUCUGCGAGUAACUUGGCGUAACAUCCUUAUUCCUCCAAGGCACCACUACAGACUUGAGGAGCCAGAGUCUCCCCUCUUUGGAGGGAACAAGGUAGGACUUUCAACUUCAUGUGCCUUGUAGGCUCCCUAAAGAGCUGAUCAGUCCAGCCUCACUGGGGACAUCAAGGAGGACCAAAUCUCUUGAUAAGACUUGUAAAUUAGGACCGUGUGUUCAAAAUACAGAAUGACUGAAAAUAGGGAGCUGCCUUUUCAGGUGCCGUCUGGAGCCGCCCUCCCACCCUCGCUGCACCGGGUCCCUUGUGAAGUGAGUGUAAAGAAGAGCGAGCGAGCUCAGCUGUAGCCUCCCUGACAGUUCUGUUUGACAAAGAAAAUUAACAUGGGACAAGAAUAUUAACUAUGUCAGUAACUGAACAAAUGGUAUCAAGUCCCUGAUAAAGCCAAAUGUGAAACGGAUACUUUCAGGAACCUGGAUUGACAAUGCAGGACAUUUAUGUCAUUAAUAGGAACAAUGCCAUUUUUUUGCUGAACUAUCCUUACUUUUUAAGUGCUUUCCAAACCCACAGAGACAUUAUAUGCCGAUUUUCUUGACAGAAAUCAAAGCACUUCUUCUCUCAUGCAUGUAAGAUGUAAUAAUGUUGUUAUGUGUCUUCAGCAUUGCUAUUUUGAUAUUACUACCUAUUCAACAGUUUCUCAGAUCUGCUUUUAUUACUUAGCCUAGUUUUAAGCACAAGGAACAGUAAACAUUUAAGAAUGAAGAAAUGGGUAAACGUCUAUUAGACGAGCUAUACUACUGAUAUCAGGGCAAUUAGGGACACACUACAGUGCUCUAAAAAAUUUCACAUUUAUAUCUAAUGGUAUCUAUACACGGCUGCUUUGUUAUUAAGCAGGAUGAGCAGCAGGUUUGUGUGCUCCACUGUCAGCACAAGUCUUGCAAGACUGAAGUAUGUAACACCAUGCUGUAUUAUAAUUAUGAAAUUUACUGUAAAGUUGAGUUACAUUUCCAGUUUAGAAAAUCGUGAGAUCAUAACCUCUAUUCUUAGUAAAAGGAAGUUGAAGUUAGAAAUUUAAAAAAAUUAUUUAACAAUUUAUCUAAAGAAGAAACAUGGUAAGUACGGUCAGAAAGCACAACUGUCACUAGGCUCCUCUCAAAAACUGAAUGUUGCACAAAACAUGGUUACAUGUUUGUGUAGUACUGAUUUAUCUAUGGGAAGGUUUGAACAAACCAUGUUGUUCUUCAGCUUGUGGUUGUGCACGAAUCAAACAUGUCCGCUUGAUAUCUUCCCCUGAAAGUUCUCUUUGGAUAGGGGGAAUACUUAGCUUGUUUGAAUGGAGGGAAGUGUUUUAAUUGCCUUUUGGCCAGCCUUGCCUCCACAGGUCUACAUGAAACGGUGAGAGACAGUUAUGCCUACUAGUUUCAAUUUGUGCCAUGCUGAGAGGAGGAGAAGCCCCAAAUCUUGACUGACAGGGAACCAGCUAGUCCCCGAAAUGUGCUUUAAGGGAGGAAUUUGCAUUCCUUCGGAGACAGGAAUUGAACCAGGAGAGGGAGGAGGGGAAGAAGACAAAUGAGCUCAGGGCACGAAGUGCCCGGGGAAACGCUGGAUGGACUGUCAAGAGAUACAAGAGGGGAUUGAGAAGAAACGCACUGCUGGGAAAGGAAAAGGCAGGGAAGCCAAACACGCCGUAGAGAAAUAAUGACGGGAGGCAUGGGAAGGAGCGAGGUAAAAAAAUAAGGCAUCACAGUAGGAGGGCAAGGUCUGGAGAGCAGAAAGACAUGGAAGAAGGGCGGUGGAUUUCCAGGGAGGAGGAGGAAGAGGCAUCUGAAUCUGGAUCAGAUCUCUACCUGCUGAUACUACUCCUGACAGGAGAGAAAGGCAAGAGGAGAAAACUCUCCAGCUGAAAAUUUUUUAGCCCACACUGCCUACAAACGUGAAUAUGCAAAACCUGGGAAAGAGAUACAGACAGGUUACCAUGUCACCUUACACAAGGUUUCCAUCUAUUUUGGCAAUAGUAGCAGAAGCCUCUGGAAACCCAGCCAGGUCAGAUGUAACGUUGCAAGUCAUCAGUACUGAAAAGCAACGUCACAAUAAUGUUUGCUGAUCCUCAAAUAGAAAAUGGCAAAAUGGUCAUGUUUAUAUCUACUUCUUCUUCAGAAGCAAAAUACAGAGACACAAAUUUAGCGCAUGGGGAUUUUAUGUUAAAAAGAAGCAAGCAGCUACGAUGCCCAGUGGAUGUUUUUAAGAAUGCUGUCUUGGCAAGAAAAAUAACACUGUGGGUUUUUUUCCCACUUGCUGCCUGUAGCUUUACAUAAUCAGUGCAGUUUUUUACUUUUGGUAUUAACUUGUACAGAGCAUCAUAGAAAACGUGAUUGCAAGGGACCUUAAGAGGUCAUGUGGUCCAAGCCCUACCCCGUGGCAAGAUCCUGUGUUACUCCUGGAAGAUGUCCGAAUUGUUACUCUGGAAUCUGUUCUUAAAGACAGUCUGUGAAGGGCAAGGGGUCACCAUCGUCUGACUGCUGCAGGGCUCCAGAUCUUCACUGUGAAGUUUCUCCAAAUGUCUAAUCUGAAUCCUCCCCGUUGCAGCUGAACAGAUUACUGCUUCACCGUGGCUGUGGGGAAGGAGAUUAAUAUCUGUGCUUCCACAAAAGCCUGAUACACUUACGGAUCUGGGGUGAGUGAAAAUUGCCUAUCUUUCUCCGUAAUUAUUUCAGCUUGGAAAUUCUAACGAGACAGUGGUCGGAGGUAAUUGUUUAAGAAGUGCAGAAACAGCAGCUUGGAAAUAACACUAAUACUUCCUGAGGGGAACAGCUUGGCCUUUGGGUGCUCCGUAAGCCAGCUGGCUGUAACCUAUCUCAGGCCAGAAAGCCUGCGUGAAAGCAGAUCGGGUGUGAAAGAUGGCUGUUUACCGACUCAGUAAGUAACUACGCACUUCAUGACACACAGUACCCUGGAUUCUCCCUAUGAUGAAACCCAGACCUAUCAGCUGCCUAACAGUGACUACAAUACGCACUUUUUUGCGAUCACACAGACGCCAUUAAGAUACAUCCAGGAGCCAUCAGCUACUUCUGCAGUACACCACAGUAGGCUACACAAAAACUACGGGCAACAUGGUGAGAAAUUACUGCCCUGAUUAAAACUGGAGGUCCUCAAUUAGCCAGUAUGAAUGCCAGCAUGAUUUAAAGCGCCUGCUGUACCCAGCAGAUGCCUUCAUUUCAGUAAGGGACUUCACUAUCCCCCAGAUUGACUGCCUUGCCCAGCUCGCCUGCUGGAAACAAGGGGUUGUGUGUGUCACAGUUAAACACCAAAUAUACUCUCCGUGGAAAUGGAUGGCUGUUCCCAGCCCAUCCCAAGCUGUGCUUUGGUCUCUCAGCGUACAGGACUGGGAGAUGAGGAGCAGAACACACGCCCCUCCCGCCCAAACCAUUUCUCAUUCCUCUGUGUAUCCUCCCUGUGCUUCUGUGUCCUCUUGGCAGGACCUAAAAAGAUACGCAGCGGAUGUACCAGUGCACAAUUAAAUAUUACAGAUGUGUGCUACUGUUUUGGGAACGUGCCCGCUACCAAAGCCCUGCCAAUUUACAGAUUAGUGUAAGAAUACCUUAAAACUGGCAGCAGCACCAUUCCACCUGCUGUCUUUGUUAGGGAUCAGCAUCUCUAGCCCUGUCUCCACUUCAGGACACAAUAUGCAGUGAAGCAGCACCUGCUGCUCUCGUGUCUCUGAUGGGCAUAUGUAGAGGCUGGAGAGUACAUACAGGUGUUCAGAGUCCUCCUGCACGCUGCCUCAGCCAAAUGUACACUGACAGCAAUAUGAAGUUAUCUCAGAACACAGAUGUUUGGCUUUGCUGCCACUGCCUGACACGGGCACUUUAUUUUCUUUAUCAUGUGUGUUGAAUUGAAAGCUUUUUUUUUAGGCCCUGACCUUGGCAGCCGUUGCUACUGCAUUUCAUCACAAAGAUAGGAGAAGAGAAGAGGUAAAACAAAAAUAAAGAAAAAGAAGAGGGACUUACUGGAUUUUCAUGAUGCCCCUUGUAAUCCUGAAUACUUCUGCUUAUUCCUGCAGGAAUGACACUUCCCCCACGGCCCACGUUUCUCAGCUUCCUCUGCUCGGGUCCACCUGUGUGAAAGCCUGCUGUGUCAUCCACGAGAUCCUUCCUGCGUAUUUGCCACUCAGUGAAAUACAACCUUUUACAACUCCAAAAAAAUACCCACUCAGACUUUUUGUUGGGGGUGUAAAAGACCACGCAGACAUGCUUUUACUUAGAAAAGAAGAAAGGAAAAAAUACUGAGCAGUGAUGACAGAUUCCUUGUCAGUAUUUGAUGCAGAACAACAUCAAUCUAAUGAGCAAAUGGGAUGAAAAAUCUAGUUUUUGAUGCAAAUCUACAAAAUUGUGGCUGUCUGAGUUACAGCUUUCUUGACGAGAGUGAAAUGUUGUCUAUUAUUUCAAUAUAUAAAACUGAAAUUCAAAAUAAUGAAUUUAAAAUUAUUCAGACCGAAUGUUUAGAAGACAGACAGAGGAAGACAGCAUGGGAAACAAAAAGUAUGUUGCUGUUUUUUUUGUUAUCAUGGGUCACCUUUAGAGUUACUUCAUUAGUCUCUAGAAAUACGUCAAAUGGUACUGUAAAACUACAAGGCAUCUGACUUCAUUUUAUGUACUUAC
This is a long non-coding RNA of Falco peregrinus (peregrine falcon), 4846 nucleotides long. RefSeq lists it as uncharacterized. The transcript is spliced from 4 exons. The record is from RefSeq and is a predicted model, not a curated record. NCBI's taxonomy places the organism in Eukaryota, Metazoa, Chordata, Aves, Falconiformes, Falconidae.